RNAcentral lists this long non-coding RNA (783 nucleotides) under Numida meleagris (helmeted guineafowl). RNAcentral describes it as "lncRNA (ENSNMEG00000005269.1)". Lineage: Eukaryota; Metazoa; Chordata; Aves; Galliformes; Numididae. The record is from RNAcentral.
UGGAUGGUUGGACUGGAUGUUCUUGUGGGUCUUUUCCAACCUAGCUAAUUCUAUGAUUGGCAUGAAAUGAGGAUGCUGAGAAUAUGAGCUACAUGGAACAAGAGUGCAAGCAAUGAGGUUACAGACUACUAUAAUGUCUUCUGCCUAAUCUUUAGCACAUUUCAUGCUAAAACAUACAAAAAACAAGGUCUCUAUUUUGUCUUACUGUUCAAAGUUGACAUAUACGUUCUGAGUCGAAAGCUCAUAUUCAAAACCUGUGGCUGCCUGAUAUUCAGAUUUUGAGUUUUGGUACACAGCUGCAUCAAUAAUAUAACAGAGAAGAAAAAAAUGGAACCUUAAGAGAUUCACUGAGGCUAAAAAGAAAUACAUGCAUCUGAAUGAGUAGAGACUUAUCAAAGAAUAAAUAUGUUUGGGAAGAAAUCAAAAUAUCUUCACACAACUGCUACAGGUCCUUGUUGUCUGGAGACAGGAGUGGUACCCUCAGGCUGAAAGACUGCCUGGACUUCAACUUGAGUAUAAGAGAGAAGUGUGCCAACCCUGUAGAUUCACAGGCUCAGCUGGAUUUCUUUACACGUACUAUGAAAAGAAACAUCGUUUUUUAGAAAUCAUGAAUUUUCUCUGAAAUAGACUCAAAGACUCAUAGAAUCAUCCAGAUUGGAGAAGACCUCUAAGAUCAUCUAGACCAACCAUCAACCUAUCCCCACCAUGCCCAAUCCCAGCAAGGUCUCAGGGAGGAAGUCUCUGUAAAUCUUUUUAAUAAACCAUUUUUCCCUAGUUUGGCCA